GACGAACGCUGGCGGCGUGCCUAACACAUGCAAGUCGAGCGGGGUAGCCGGAAGGUGUAGCGAUACAGCGGAGGGGUACCUAGCGGCGAACGGGUGAGUAACGCGUGGGCAAUCUGCCCCCGGGGGCGGGAUAACAGACCGAAAGGCCUGCUAAUACCGCAUGAAGCCGUCCUAUCGCAUGAUAAGACGGUAAAAGGGGAAACCCGCCUGGGGAGGAGCCCGCGUCCCAUUAGCUAGUUGGUGGUGUAAAGGACCACCAAGGCGAUGAUGGGUAGCCGGCCUGAGAGGGUGAACGGCCACAUUGGGACUGAGACACGGCCCAGACUCCUACGGGGGGGCAGCAGUGAGGGAUUUUCGGCAAUGGGCGAAAGCCUGACCGAGCGACGCCGCGUGAGCGAAGAAGGCCUUCGGGUCGUAAAGCUCUGUCUAGGGGGAGAGUAAGGACGGUACCUCUGGAGGAAGGCCACGGGCUAACUACGUG
RNAcentral lists this ribosomal RNA (481 nucleotides) under uncultured bacterium. RNAcentral's name for it is "bacterial SSU rRNA". It matches the Rfam family "Bacterial small subunit ribosomal RNA", at positions 28 to 507 of the family's 1533-position model. The record is from RNAcentral.